Molecule: long non-coding RNA, 728 nt
Organism: Adelges cooleyi (spruce gall adelgid)
Lineage: Eukaryota; Metazoa; Arthropoda; Insecta; Hemiptera; Adelgidae
Exons: 4
Source: RefSeq, a predicted model, not a curated record
AGUGUUGCUUAAUAUAUUGUUCACGUCAGUCACACUAGUUCCCAAACCCAAAAACUACAAUAACUACAAAAACUUUUCGUUUUGUAAAUCACUUUUGAAAAAUCGACUUCAUCAAGUAGUUUACUGUGUACAAGCUGAAUAGAUAAAUAGCAUCAUGAAAUUAUUUAAUAUAACAAUAUAUUUGAUAUAUAUUGCAUUAUGUGUCCUUUCAUUCGGCCAUAUUAUCUCACUAGCUCAAGAAGACGUUGGCUAUAAACCAUUUGACGGUAAUCUUGUUAAGGAAUCUGAUAACACCCGACCAAUUUGAAAUAAAACACGACACACAAUUUUCAUUAAGUAUAUAUAAUGAUCUAUAAAAUAGUAACAGAAAAAUUAUAAAUAAUAAAAAAAAUGUAUCUUUGAUUUUAGUAAAAUAAUAUAACAAUGAAUGAUUUUAAAAGAAAACACAUAACUGUAAAUACACGUGUGAAAUUUAACUAAAAUAUUAUAAUUUAAAAUUAAUAUGUCUAUUAUUACCUGUAACUUGGAAGUUCUUCUUAUAUAAAAUAAAAUUUAAAAAGCCUUGUUGGUACUAGAAAUAUAGUCACUCUGAAAGUAAUUUAAGAUCUUCGUAUUUAAUUUAUUUUAUUAAAGUUAGUUUCUAAAAAUGUGUUCAGAAAAUAACGAGAUUUUUUUGUUUUAAUAAUAUUAUAUCGACCGAUUAAUAAAUCAUAUUAUCAUGCAACUAA